UACGAAGGGACCUAGCGUAGUUCGGAAUUACUGGGCUUAAAGAGUUCGUAGGUGGUUGAAAAAGUUAGUGGUGAAAUCCCAGAGCUUAACUCUGGAACUGCCAUUAAAACUUUUCAGCUAGAGUAUGAUAGAGGAAAGCAGAAUUUCUAGUGUAGAGGUGAAAUUCGUAGAUAUUAGAAAGAAUACCAAUUGCGAAGGCAGCUUUCUGGAUCAUUACUGACACUGAGGAACGAAAGCAUGGGUAGCGAAGAGGAUUAGAUACCCUCGUAGUCCAUGCCGUAAACGAUGUGUGUUAGACGUUGGAAAUUUAUUUUCAGUGUCGCAGCGAAAGCGAUAAACACACCGCCUGGGGAGUACGACCGCAAGGUUAAAACUCAAAUGAAUUGACGGGGACCCGCACAAGUAGUGGAGCAUGUGGUUUAAUUCGAAGAUACGCGCAGAACCUUACCAACACUUGACAUGUUCGUCGCGACUCUAAGAGAUUAGAGUUUUCGGUUCGGCCGGACGAAACACAGGUGCUGCAUGGCUGUCGUCAGCUCGUGUCGUGAGAUGUUGGGUUAAGUCCCGCAACGAGCGCAACCCUCACUUUUAGUUGCCAUCAUUAAGUUGGGCACUCUGAAAGGACUGCCAGUGAUAAGCUGGAGGAAGGUGGGGAUGACGUCAAGUCCUCAUGGCCCUUACGUGUUGGGCUACACACGUGCUACAAUGGUAUCUACAACAGGAAGCAAGACUGCGAGGUCAAGCAAAUCCUUAAAAGAUACCUCAGUUCGGAUUGCACUCUGCAACUCGAGUGCAUGAAGCUGGAAUUACUAGUAAUCGUGGAUCAGCGUGCCACGGUGAGUGCGUUCCCGGGUCU
RNAcentral lists this ribosomal RNA (856 nucleotides) under uncultured bacterium. RNAcentral's name for it is "SSU rRNA". It matches the Rfam family "Bacterial small subunit ribosomal RNA", at positions 524 to 1381 of the family's 1533-position model. The record is from RNAcentral.